This 88-nucleotide transfer RNA is filed under the name Methylorubrum aminovorans. RNAcentral describes it as "tRNA-Ser". It matches the Rfam family "tRNA". Rfam says of the family: Transfer RNA (tRNA) molecules are approximately 80 nucleotides in length. Their secondary structure includes four short double-helical elements and three loops (D, anti-codon, and T loops). Lineage: Bacteria; Pseudomonadati; Pseudomonadota; Alphaproteobacteria; Hyphomicrobiales; Methylobacteriaceae. The record is from RNAcentral.
CGGAGAGGUGGCAGAGCGGUUGAAUGCACCGCACUCGAAAUGCGGCAUGGGUGCAAGCCCAUCGGGGGUUCGAAUCCCCCUCUCCGCC